UACGGGGGGAGCAAGCGUUGUUCGGAUUUACUGGGCGUAAAGGGCGCGUAGGCGGUCAGCACAAGUCAGUUGUGAAAUCUCCGGGCUUAACUCGGAAAGGUCAACUGAUACUGUGCGACUAGAGUGCGGAAGGGGCAACUGGAAUUCUCGGUGUAGCGGUGAAAUGCGUAGAUAUCGAGAGGAACACCUGCGGCGAAGGCGGCUCACUGGGUCUCUUCUGACGCUGAGGAACGAAAGCUAGGGGAGCAAACGGG
RNAcentral lists this ribosomal RNA (254 nucleotides) under uncultured bacterium. RNAcentral's name for it is "partial 16S ribosomal RNA". It matches the Rfam family "Bacterial small subunit ribosomal RNA", at positions 524 to 776 of the family's 1533-position model. The record is from RNAcentral.